GGGUGAGUAACGCGUGGGCAACCUGCCUUACACAGGGGGAUAACAGUUAGAAAUGACUGCUAAUACCGCAUAAGACCACAAAACCGCAUGGUUUGGUGGUAAAAACUCCGGUGGUGUAAGAUGGGCCCGCGUCUGAUUAGGUAGUUGGUGGGGUAACGGCCUACCAAGCCGACGAUCAGUAGCCGACCUGAGAGGGUGACCGGCCACAUUGGGACUGAGACACGGCCCAGACUCCUACGGGAGGCAGCAGUGGGGAAUAUUGCACAAUGGGGGAAACCCUGAUGCAGCGACGCCGCGUGAGCGAUGAAGUAUUUCGGUAUGUAAAGCUCUAUCAGCAGGGAAGAAAAUGACGGUACCUGACUAAGAAGCCCCGGCUAACUACGUGCCAGCAGCCGCGGUAAUACGUAGGGGGCAAGCGUUAUCCGGAUUUACUGGGUGUAAAGGGAGCGUAGACGGCUUGGCAAGCCAGAUGUGAAAGGCUGGGGCUCAACCCCAGGACUGCAUUUGGAACUGUCAUGCUAGAGUGUCGGAGAGGCAGGCGGAAUUCCUAGUGUAGCGGUGAAAUGCGUAGAUAUUAGGAGGAACACCAGUGGCGAAGGCGGCCUGCUGGACGAUGACUGACGUUGAGGCUCGAAAGCGUGGGGAGCAAACAGGAUUAGGUACCCUGGUAGUCCACGCCGUAA
Molecule: ribosomal RNA, 683 nt
Filed under: uncultured bacterium
Lineage: Bacteria
Description: bacterial SSU rRNA
Rfam family: Bacterial small subunit ribosomal RNA
Source: RNAcentral